Molecule: ribosomal RNA, 398 nt
Filed under: uncultured Bacteroidota bacterium
Lineage: Bacteria; Pseudomonadati; Bacteroidota
Description: bacterial SSU rRNA
Rfam family: Bacterial small subunit ribosomal RNA
Source: RNAcentral
GAUGAACGCUAGCGGCAGGCCUAAUACAUGCAAGUCGAGGGGUAACAGGAAGUGCUUGCACUUCGCUGACGACCGGCGCACGGGUGAGUAACGCGUAUACAAUCUGCCUCAUACUAGAGGAUAGCCCGAAGAAAUUUGGAUUAAGACUCUAUAGUAUCAUUUAAAGACAUCUUUUUAUGAUUAAAGGUUACGGUAUGAGAUGAGUAUGCGUUCUAUUAGUUUGUAGGUGAGGUAACGGCUCACCUAGACUGCGAUAGAUAGGGGCCCUGAGAGGGGGACCCCCCACACUGGUACUGAGACACGGACCAGACUCCUACGGGAGGCAGCAGUAAGGAAUAUUGGUCAAUGGACGAAAGUCUGAACCAGCCAUGCCGCGUGCAGGAUGAAUGCCCUAUGGG